RNAcentral lists this long non-coding RNA (1355 nucleotides) under Sus scrofa (pig). Its description in RNAcentral is "lncRNA (ENSSSCG00005017027.1)". The record is from RNAcentral. Lineage: Eukaryota; Metazoa; Chordata; Mammalia; Artiodactyla; Suidae.
GCAGAGAAUGAGAUGGGGAUUAGUUUACAAGCUCACAUUUUACACAUGUAAACAUAUGUUUUUGUUUGCUUUUUGUUUCUUUUUGCUAGUACAAAAUUUAAAAAAAAAAGGUUUAUUUUAUAGGGAGUGUUUUCCUAAAGUAUUAUACAUAAAGGGAAGUUGAGCUGUCUGUAGGAAAACAGAAUGUAAUUUUAAUAUUACAGAAGGGUCGAGACUGUGCUUAACAUUUUAAAUUAGAUUAGUACAAUAAGUAAAUACUGCAAGAUAUGACAGCUUCAAAAUUGUAUAUGAACAUCAUGAUGUAGAAGCUCAAUAUUAACACCCAUAGUGAUCAUUUGCUUUCAAGAUUGUCCAAAAUGUUGAGAGAAUACUGCUUAAAUCUUAAUAGAGGAAAAAAAAAAAAAAGGACUCAAAUCACUAACUGAAACGUAGCCCUUUCCCAAUGCUGUCAACUUUCAAUUAUCCAUAAUAAUGAAGUGGCAUACUGACAUAUAAAAUGUUUAAAAAAUAAAUAAUUUCAAAAUUAAUUUUGAGAAAUGUCCUUGUACUUAGGUUUAUAGGUAAGAAAUACUAACAUCCCUGAAGUUUGCAGUACCGAUCAAAUGAUAAUUUCUACUUUCUUCUCCCCUCCCUCUCAGUGGGAAGAGACACAGUCACUCACACAUACACACACACAAAUGUACAUUUUUAUAUAUAUGCAGGAAUAUAUGUAUCUAGAAAUCUUUGUAGAACUCCUCGAUAUAUGGAUAUGUCCGAGGUUUCUUGUUUUCUAGAGCUUAAUACAACAUCACUUUGGAAAGGUAAGUGAUUAAUAUGCUGGUCAUAUCUCAUGUUUCCUCUUUGCCAAAUCAGAGCACCUGGGUACUCUUAAACUCCCAAACAUAAUUAUCCAGGAACCCUGAGGUAACUUUAACUUUUGGCAGAACAACAUAAAUGCCAAGCAAACAAUUAAAAAUGAAAGUGGCAGUUAACAAAACCAUAAAAUAUUUUAUCCCUUUAUAUGGUAAUUUGUAGAACAUGACAUGAAAACUUGGGAUGAUCAAGUCAUUUUUUUCUAAGCACUAUGUAAAAUCAGUUUGUUUUAAAAAUAGGUUCCGGGAGUUUCCCAUUGUGGCUCAGUGGCUUAGGAUCCUGAUUAGUAUCCAUGAGGAUGCUGGUUUGAUCCCUGGCCUCACUCAUGGGUUAAGGAUCCAGGGUUGUCGUGAGCUGUGGUGUAGUUCGCAGACAUGGCUCUGAUCCUGAGUUGCUGUGGCUCUGGCCUACGCCAGUGGCUACAGCUCCAAUUGGACCCCUAGCCUGGGAACCUCCAUAUGCCACAGGUGUGGCCCUAAAAGACAAAAAGACAAAAAAAAAAA